AAGCCUGCACUGAAGGCUGAGUCGCCGGAGCCGGUUGCAACACCUAUCCUGCCGUCCACUGAAGCUGCGCAGCUGCCGGACGACCCGGAGUUCUACCAGGACCUUCUGCGCGGGCUGCAGCUACCCGACAUCGACCCGAUGGACUUCCGCGCCGGCCUGGACGCCCUGGAUGUUUCCGAUGCGCCCUUCUGCUUGGACGACGACCAGGACCUGCUGUUCGGGGACUUCGCGGACGAGGAGCUGGAUGAGAUCGACCUCGACCUCGACGACAUCAACGACGUCUUCCCGGAGAUCCCCGGCUGCGACCUCGGCCGCGGCAUGGACGACUUCCUGCAAACCGUGGAUUUCUGCGUGUGAAUUAAGCAAGUGCCUUAGUGUUAUCGAUGUUGGUGUGAUAAAAUGGGCCUGUGAGUGCGCUUGGGAGGGGAUUUCUUGGGUUUUUUCCCCGGGCAACA
RNAcentral lists this long non-coding RNA (455 nucleotides) under Setaria italica (foxtail millet). RNAcentral describes it as "long non-coding RNA (SITA_LNC003478)". The record is from RNAcentral. Lineage: Eukaryota; Viridiplantae; Streptophyta; Magnoliopsida; Poales; Poaceae.